UUUGAGGGGAAAAGCUAUUUUCGAGGGAUGAGUUGGCCUAGUUUAGGUAAGUAUUUUGCCUAACUUUGUGUGGAGGAGCUACCCCUUAGGAUUUAGGUUGAGUGCGCUAUUUGUGUUAUGUGAAAGCCGUGUGAGUACAUGGGUUAUAUAGGGUAAUUGUUCGGUUUAGGUUAUUUAAACUCUUUCCAUGACUUUAAUUUAAUGGUCAUAGUAUGUUAUAUCCCUCAAUGCUAAUCUACCUUUACAUGUUUUAUUUGACAUUUAUUAAUACUUGUUUUACCUCUUACUUGUUAUUUUGUUCUUAUAUGCUUUAGUUGAAGUUAUUGCCUUUCUUAUUGUCUUGUUACCUCUUUAAUCAUUGUAUUACUUUUACUUGAAGUAGUUAUUUUGUGGAAUAUCCUCUUGUUGGGUUAUUGGUGUUGAAGUUGUAAAAGCCUUUAUCUCAUUGAGUUGAAGUUGUUAAUUGUUGAGUUAUCUUCUUGUUGAGUAAUUCACAUUUAUUUUGUUAUUGUUGAUAUUCUUGUAUACAUUGUGAUUGAGUUGUGGGCUAUUUGUUGUGGAAAUAUUGGUAUUGUUGAUUCUUAUUGAAAGUUAUGGCAUAUGGGCACUUGUGGUGCGAGUUGUGAUCAUGUUGUGAUAUUGAUACGCAUGUGGUGGUAUAAGACUAGGCGUUGAUACGUAUGCGGUGAGAUAAUGUGGGCUUGAUACGCCUGUUGCUAGUAGGGGAACUACUUGAAGCCACGUAGUGAGAUAAGGGAGGCUAAAACGAGGGUAGCUAUUUCAGAAAAAAGAUUUUCAAUACUAAAUGUAUGGCUAUUGUGGUGACAUAAGGAAAGAGCUCAUGACUCUGUUCCACCAGGUUUUGGGGAUUUGUUGUCAGCUAUACUGUAGAAUUCUAUUAUGAUAGUUUACACGGUUAAUUUGAAGUUUUAUUAUUAUUUCUGAUGUUUCAUAAAGUAUGCUAGGCUUACCUAGUCUUAGAGACUAGGUGCCAUCACGACAUUCUGAGGUAGGAAAAUAGGGUCGUGACAAGUUGGUAUCAUAGCUCUAUGUUCAGAGGUGUUACGAGUCAUAAAAAAGUUUAGUAGAGUUUUGUGGAUAGGUACGGAUGACUUCUGUUCUUCUCUUCGAGAGGCUACGAAAUUCCCUGUAUUUGAUUCUUUAUCAUGCGAAUUGGUUGACUUCGAAAUCUAAAUGUUUUUCUUUUUACUCUCUCACAGAUGGUGAGGACACGCACUACUAGAUCCAAUGAUCAAACACCCGCGCCCCUGCUAGAGCCACGAGAGGCGAAGGCCUAGGUAGAGGCCGAAGAGGGGCACAUGGUGCAUCUAGAGCACCUGCCAUAGCAGCGCCUGAGGAGCCACCAGUAGCUUUGGUUUGGGGAAAGGCACCCAAGGGGCUCGUUAUCACCCCUGCACAUUAGGAGACCAUAUUACAUUUUAUGAGUAUGUUCGGUUGUAAUGACUCGAUCGACCAUUUUGUGUAAUUGAACCUUGUUACCCAUUAUGAUGCUUCAAAAAUGUAUGUUUAUAAUUUUAUG
RNAcentral lists this long non-coding RNA (1540 nucleotides) under Nicotiana tabacum (common tobacco). Its description in RNAcentral is "long non-coding RNA (NTAB_LNC017510)". The record is from RNAcentral. Lineage: Eukaryota; Viridiplantae; Streptophyta; Magnoliopsida; Solanales; Solanaceae.